RNAcentral lists this long non-coding RNA (1268 nucleotides) under Ursus thibetanus thibetanus. Its description in RNAcentral is "lncRNA (ENSUTTG00000022936.1)". Lineage: Eukaryota; Metazoa; Chordata; Mammalia; Carnivora; Ursidae. The record is from RNAcentral.
CUGGCUGUCUCUAUCUCUGUCAAAUAAAUAAAAUAAAACAAAAGAUUUUAUAAUUUAUUUGAGAGAGAGAGCAUGAGCAGGGGGAAGGGCAAAGGGAGAGAAAGAAGCAGACUCCUUGCUGAGCAGGGAGCCCAACGUGGGACUCGAUCCCAGGACCCUGGGAUCAUGACCUGAGCCAAAGGCAGACACUUAAACGACUCAGCCACCCAGGUGCCCUGGUACUAGAACUUUUUUUGCAGUGUUUUUGUUGUCUAGAUUCUCAUUGCUGGUAAUUUGGGCAGUGUGGAUUAUAAUGAUACACUUGCCCAAGCAGUGAGGAUCCUGCAGCUGAUUUAUAGGAAGGCCUUGACUGCUGCUGGUACGUUGACACUGGGGACACAGUUGUGUGGUCUCCACAGAAAGGAGGACUUGUUCUGUGAAAGUUAAAAAUGGCAGAUAAGAAUUGAGAGCGUGAGGGGCGCCUGGGUGGCACAGCGGUUAAGCAUCUGCCUUUGGCUCAGGGUGUGAUCCUGGCGUUAUGGGAUCGAGCCCCACAUCAGGCUCUUCCGCUAUGAGCCUGCUUCUUCCUCUCCCACUCCCCCUGCUUGUGUUCCCUCUCUCGCUGGCUGUCUCUGUCUCUGUCAAAUAAAUAAAAUAUUAAAAAGGGAAGAAAAAAAAACAGUGGCUAGCCCUAUUCAUUGUUGAAUGAAUACAACUAAUAAAAAAAAUAAAAAAAAAAGAGUUGAGAGCAUGAGAUACUAUCACUGGUUACUCAUACUGUAAUUUGAUGAAAAUCAUGGGGCAGGAGAAAGUGUUUUCAUGUCUAUAAUUUUUGAGUAAAUCUUUUUUUUUUUUUUAAAGAUUUUAUUUAUUUAUUCGAUAGGAUAGAGACAGCCAGCGAGAGAGGGAACACAAGCAGGGGGAGUGGGAGAGGAAGAAGCAGGCUCAUAGCGGAGGAGCCUGAUGUGGGGCUCGAUCCUAGAACGCCGGGAUCACGCCCUGAGCCAAAGGCAGACGCUCAACCGCUGUGCCACCCAGGCGCCCCCGCCUGCGUGGUGCCUAAUUUUGUUGCAAGUUCCACACAGCUUCAAGCUUGCCCGCACGUUUCCACGUUGGUAGAUUAGGACGGCCAGGCUAGUUCUCAGUAGAACACCCUCGAAGACCUACUUCGGUAGUGAGCAGAGGCUAACGCCAACAGCCCUCCCUCACACCACUGCUGCACUUGGAUUUGUCACAACCAGUGCUCCCAAGUUCAUGCUGUUUCUGCCUCCGCCCCACUCUGAAGACCA